This 253-nucleotide ribosomal RNA is filed under the name uncultured bacterium. Its description in RNAcentral is "partial 16S ribosomal RNA". It matches the Rfam family "Bacterial small subunit ribosomal RNA", at positions 524 to 776 of the family's 1533-position model. The record is from RNAcentral.
UACAGAGGUCCCAAGCGUUGUUCGGAUUUACUGGGCGUAAAGGGCGCGUAGGCGGCUUUGCGUGUCUUUCGUGAAAUCCCUCGGCUCAACUGAGGACGUGCGGAAGAAACUGCAGGGCUGGAGUCCGGGAGAGGAGGGUGGAAUUCCCAGUGUAGCGGUGAAAUGCGUAGAUAUUGGGAGGAACACCGGUGGCGAAGGCGGCCCUCUGGACCGGUACUGACGCUGAUGCGCGAAAGCGUGGGGAGCAAACGGG